RNAcentral lists this long non-coding RNA (1108 nucleotides) under Zalophus californianus (California sea lion). RNAcentral describes it as "lncRNA (ENSZCAG00015009013.1)". Lineage: Eukaryota; Metazoa; Chordata; Mammalia; Carnivora; Otariidae. The record is from RNAcentral.
CCACAAAGUGCUAAAGUCAGUUGUGAAUUUUAUUAAAAAUAAGCACUAUGCCUGGGUUUCAUAAAAUUUAUACAUGAAUAUGUACAGACACAAAUAAAAUAAUAUUAAAAAUAAAAAUCACGCUUGCUUUCACGUGGCAGUGGUCCUGGCACCCCACAUACAUAAUGCUAACUUUUCCUUUAAAGAAAUUGCUUGGCCCAAGGAGACCACAGUUAGAGAUCACCGAACCACUAAUAAAGCUGUAGCCCGUUGCCUGCAACAUUUUCAACUCAGGUCUCAAAAAUAUAUAAAUAAUUUAAUUACAAAACCCAACUUUUUUUUUUUUUUAUCUUUUGGCACAGUGAAGCAUUGGUCAAUAGCAGAGAAAUGACUGAAGAUUCUCUGACACCUCUCUCACACUCAGUCAUGCCUGUAAAUGCCACAUACUUACAUGGAGCGAGGGCCAUUAAACCCGGAACAGUAGUCAUAUCAUUUAUCAUAUGGAAUGUUUCCCUGAUUUUUUUUUAAGGGACAAGUCAAUGGAGGGUGCGACAAAAAUAGGAGUAAGGGGGAGUAAGAAGAUAGGCAAAGUCUUUGUGAAGUGAGGGAGGGACAGGCUUGGUCAAGAACCUAAAGCAAUUAUGGAGAAUUGGUUUGGUCUUCUGUAAAGUCACAAAAGAAAAACGAAAAUAUUCUGAAUUAAAUUAAAACACUCUGUCAAAAAUACUUUAGCUUUAAGGCACGUUUGAUGGAGAUUUUUUUUUAACGUCUUUUUUUGUCUGGCUAGAAAAUGCAAAGCCCUGGCCUGCGUUUCCUGCCUCCCCGACGGCGCCCACCCUUGCCUGGCUCCGCGGCGCUGCUCAGGCCAGGAGCGUCUCCACUGGGUAAGGCAGGUGCGGGCCGGGGCCACAGGACGAGGACGCCUGCAGGGCCGCGGGCAGCCGCAGGGGGCAGUACAGGUGCGAGCCGCCGCCGGCCGCCGGGCCUCGAAAUGGCUUGGUUGGGGCCGAGGCGGAGAGGGGCGCGAGCAGGAGAUUCUGAACACUUGGGAAGAAUCCUGCAGAGAUUCAAGGUGGGCGUGAGAGGAUGGAUAAAACCUAGAAGUGUUUCUUCAUUCCUUAGUCUAUGA